Molecule: long non-coding RNA, 5902 nt
Filed under: Phaseolus vulgaris (common bean)
Lineage: Eukaryota; Viridiplantae; Streptophyta; Magnoliopsida; Fabales; Fabaceae
Description: long non-coding RNA (PVUL_LNC004505)
Source: RNAcentral
CAUAUAGAGCGGUGACUGAAUAUUGGAUUCUGCCUGCAUCUUUUGAGUGAAGCUUUUGCAUUGAAUCAGUUCGAACUGUAGUUAUUGAAAUAGCCUCCGUGUUGCUCUUGAUGGGUAUUGUUGCUUAUAAUACAUCAGUUACCCUAAGUUUCUGAAACAAAUCCUACUUUGGUUAGAUGAAGUAGAUCUUAUUGUAGUUCUGAAGUCUUGGGUCAAGGUGAUUUUAGCUUGAGAGAGGAUAAUGCUACUGCUUUGACCAGCCAUUUUAGUGGGACCUGAGAAGUGUCAGUAUGAUCUCUGGUUCUUGUUCAUUUCCACCACCUUUACUCUGCAACCAUUUCAAAGCCGUGGGUCUAUUAAUGAAUAAAGCUGUGCAGCCCCUCCAUCUGAAAGUUUCUGCUUCUAUGCCCCCUUUUGCUACGACAGAAAAUUGAUGGUGGAUUUUGCUGGACCAGCAGGAACCUCUUAAUAUUUUAUAUAGCUCUGAGCAUCAUCUACACGAGAUAAAUGCCAUUUAUCCUUUGUGUUUUUGUUUACAUUUGUUGAAGAAUAAAGAAAGCGCUGCUUAUUGUUACCUGGGAACAAUGGAGAGGUGAUUACUUUUUCCCGUUUUUGCAGGAAUUCCUAUUUCCUUCCUCCCGUGUUUUGUAUUAAAUUUCUUAGUACCUUUCUCUGCAAAUACAGGUACAACUUAAUUAAGGAAGUUGGUGAUGGGACGUUUGGGAGUGUCUGGAGAGCUAUAAACAAACAAACUGGUGAAGUUGUAAGUAUUCUUUAACUGACAUGAUGGAGUUGCUCUAUUUGAAGUCGGGUGGUGUCCUAAUAAGUAGUAAAACUGCAGGUUGCUAUCAAGAAGAUGAAGAAGAAGUAUUACUCUUGGGAGGAGUGUGUAAACCUAAGAGAAGUCAAGGUUUCAAUCUUGCUUAUCUUUCUUAAGUCUUUUUUUGUCAUGCAUUGUUGAAUAUUUAUAAUUACUCUCUCAUUUCCCUUGUUGGCAGUCAUUACGAAAAAUGAACCACCCAAAUAUUGUCAAGCUGAAGGAAGUUAUUCGAGAAAGUGACAUUUUGUACUUUGUUUUUGAAUACAUGGUGCGCGAUUAAAGUUAAAGUUCUGGUAGAGAAAGACUUGGUUGGAUAAUGCAAGAUCUGAUAGACUAAUUUUAGUGUCAAUUUGGUGUGUUGUAGGAAUGCAACCUAUACCAGCUUAUGAAAGAUAGGGAAAAACUGUUUUCUGAAGGUGAAGUUAGAAAUUGGUGUUUUCAAGUUUUCCAAGGUCUUGCUUACAUGCACCAGCGUGGAUACUUCCAUCGUGACCUGAAGCCUGGUACUUAUGCACUAUUUCCUCUAAAAUCUGUUAUAUUAUGCUUUUUUAUUGAAUGUGAGAGUUAAUCUAUUACUUCCAUAAUAUAUUAAAUGUAAAGGUGAUUUUUUUGUACAUGUUUUAUUUUCCAAUAUAUCCUUUAAUCUAUGUAAAACUGCUUUGUUUAUUUUCUUGUCUUUAUCCCUUUUAAAAUAGCCAUCCCGACUUGUUCUCUUACUAUUCGGGUUCCAUUUGAUUUUUACAAGUUCCAAAUUUUCUACUCUCGCAUCCCAACGGAUGACUUCAAUUUUUUUUUAUCUUAAAUUUAAAUAUCUUAAAUAAUAUUUGAAAUUUAAACAAGAUAAAAUAAAUAUGUAUUAACAAUAUAUUAAAUUUAAAAUUAAUAUACACAACAAUAUGUAGAAUAAUAAAAAUUAUUACAACAAUUAAAUUUUGACUAUUAAAAUAAUAGUGUGAUAAAAAUGCAGAUACAUAGGUGCUAAUGAGCAUAUGGUGUUUUCGGUAGGUUGUAAACUAUAUAUAAAGACGUUUCUUGUUUACAGAUACUUAGGUGCUAAUGAGCAUAUGGUGUUUUCGUUAGGUUGUAAACUAUAUAUAAAGACGUUUUUUGUUUACACAAUAUACCCUUUUAAUCUAAGGUAAAACAACUUCAUUUAUUUUCUUCUGUGCCUUAUCGCCUUCAUACUAACCGUAAAAAAUGAUUCUUUCGUAUUCAGGUUCCAUCUGUGUUUUAUAAUUUCAAAGUUCUCUACCCUCUCAUCCCAUUUGUUAUUUCUCUAGUAUUAAAAUAUAUAUUAAAUUUAAACUCAGUAAAAUAAGAUGUAUGUGUUUUCGCUAGUUUAUAUUACGUGUGUUAUAUUUUGCCAGAAUUUUGUUCUCUUGUACUCUAGUUUUCUCUGGCUAACUGGUUAUAUACGUUUUCUAUUUUGACUGUUAAAUGCUAAUUAGAUGAACAGAACUCUAUUGUUAGACAGACUUAAAAUAAAUAAACUGAGAGCACGGUCUACUGUUUAUAUUACUCUAUCGCAAAAUGCUUCUGUUUUGACCCAAGGAAUGCUGAUAUGGUGCAGAAAACUUGCUGGUUACCAAGGAUAUAAUCAAAAUUGCUGAUUUUGGCCUAGCCCGAGAGAUCACUUCACAACCACCUUACACUGAAUAUGUCUCCACACGAUGGUAUGUGUAAUCGACUUUCAAUAGAUGCUUCACAUUCUGUGUUUUAGGUAUGUAAUAACAUGCGUGAUGGCCUUCCUGUUUAGGUACCGUGCACCUGAAGUGCUGCUUCAGUCUUAUAUGUAUUCCUCUAAAGUUGGUGAGUGUCUGAUUUGGCAACAAUUGUGUCAUUUACUUUUGUCACUUAUAUGUUUUUUCUAAUGAUGAUGAUGAGUAGCAUUUUAUUAACAUUUUUUUCCCUUCUAGACAUGUGGGCAAUGGGUGCUAUAAUGGCUGAGCUUUUCUCUCUUCGUCCCCUUUUCCCAGGUGUCAGGUAUUAGCUUCUUUUCACUUUCUGCCCCCUUCCCCCACCAUACACCUAAUAUUGAAUUUUUGACUGAGAAAAGAGCAAAUACAUCUUCAUUAAUUUUAGCACCUGGAACUCAUGCAAUUUAUAAAAUCUAAUGUUACGAUGUUUAUUUGCUUAAAAGUGGUAUCAUAUUCUAAAGCAGUCCUGAUUAGCAACUGGAUGUUGUAAAUAACAUGUUUCCUUGUGGCAUGCAGUGAAGCAGAUGAGAUAUACAAAAUAUGUGGUGUGAUUGGCAGUCCAACCUAUGAAUCUUGGGAUGAUGGACUCAAACUUGCAAGGGAUAUCAACUACCAAUUCCCGCAGGUUAGAUUUAACCCGAUCUUGCUAUGUUUAGUAGUUAGCAUCUGGGAUGCUAGUUGCGUACUUACUUUACUACGUAUAAUGGCAUUCUUCUAAUCACUUUAUAUGCCUUUUAUACUUUCUAUAGCUUGCCGGUGUGCAUCUUUCUGCACUGAUCCCGUCUGCAAGCGAGGAUGCAAUCAGUCUUAUCACAGUAUGUAGUUUUUGGUAUUAUUUGUUAGUUGCUUAGGCCUGUGAGCCACUGAUCAACAAAUAGUGUGUAAUGCAUUUUCUUUCCUGUUUUAUUCUUUUCUGUUAAUGCAGUCACUUUGCUCCUGGGAUCCCUGCAAGAGGCCAACAGCUUCUGAGGCCCUUCAGCAUCCUUUCUUUCAGGUGAUCUUCUAACUAGUUAAUGUUUUAUUGUUUUUCUUUUCGUCAGGAACGUAUCAUUUUUUACUUUAGAAGCUGUCUUAUUCGGACUUUUUAUUUGUUGUAGAGUUGCUUCUAUAUUCCUCCAUCCCUUCGAAGCAGAGCAGUAGCGAGAACUCCACCAUCCGGUUUGUAUUAUUUAUUUAUUAGCUAGGGACGUGUUUAUUGUGCGAGUGGUGAUCUUUAUUGUCCUUUCUUUCCAGCUGGAACCAGAGGAGCACUGGAUCAGCAAGGGGUCAAGAGAUAUCCCGGUGCUUUAUCUUAUUCAAAGAUCACCAAUCAUUUUUCUUCCCAGAAAUUACAUCCUCCUUUAGCUUCAGGUGACCUAUUACAUUUUUAUUGAUUAGAUCAAUGUAUGUGUUCUUUCCAUUAAUUUUUGUAUAUGGAGCAACACGACCCCAAAUGUACACCGGUCGAUGAAUAGAAAAACCUUGUAAUUAAAAUAUUUUACUAUUCUUCGUUGAUUUUUAUAAUUAACUACCCAUGCUUAUAAUUCUUAGUAAAUGAGAUUAUGAUGUUCAAUACAGAAAUAUUUUGAACCUUUUGACUAUUUUGCCUCGCGGUUAUCAAGUUAAUGGGUGUUUUCUACUAAUAGAUUUAGUUUUACUCAUCAAUAAGUAGAUAGAAGCUUGCCUCUUCUAAACCAGAAGGUUCCUUGGGCGACUGGCUUCUGCACUCUGGAUGCACCUUGUUUACUUUGAAGAGAAUUCAAUUAUGUUAUCAUUAGGUUUAAAAUAUCUGUUUGUUUAAACAGGAAAUUUCUUAUCGACAUAAAAGGUUUUCCCCGUUGGAUUCGUGUAUGUAAUAAAUAGGUUGUUGUUUGGUUAGUGAAAUACUCUGUAUAUUUGUUAAUGUGAAGACCGAUGUUCUCAUCCAAUUAAGAAUGUUACAGGUGUGCAACGGAAGCUGGAUAUGGUAAAUCAGGUGAGUUAUUCUCUUAACAUGCUUUUGUUCUUUCCACCCCUCUCUCAUUAACUAGCACUAUAUGCUUUCUUUUUAUACCAAGAAUAUAAAAACAUGAUUACCAAAUUUACUUGAAAGUCCUUUUUCGUAUAUUGAUGGAUGGGCUCUUGUAUGGCAUCUUGGAUGGACUAAUAUGUUAAUCUUAAGCUGGUUCCUUAUUCAAUCCAUGUGUCAUGCUAACGAUUUCUUUCUGUUUCUUCUGUAGGAUGGAAUUAGGAAUGAAAAACCUAUGAGGAGUACUAAACCAAAGUAUCGACAGCCAGGAAGGGACAGCCCAAGUAAGCCUUUGAGUCUCUGGUAUUUUAAUUUUUGUAUCAAGUAGGGGUGUACCAUGUCACAGGCUCCAACUGAAUUGUUUUGAAAUCCAACUGGUUUACACAUCUAUGCAGUAAAUUAAUAAUUAAAGAAGCAAUUGAAAUUAAAUUACCAAGUUACAAAGCUAUAUAGUUUACAAUUCGCUGACUAGUGGUCAAGAAAUAAUAAAAAUUCCACUUUAAUUUGCUUACAAUGAUAAGAACGGCAAGGUUCCCAUAACGCAUGGAAUCCGCAAUUGCAGGGCUAUAUGGAUAUCUUAGUUGAGACUAGGAUUAUACUGUUGUAUUGCUAGGUUUUAACGAGUUUUUAAUAGUUUGAGAAAAGGUUAUUCGGUUUAGAACUAUUUUUCUAAAACAGUUUGCAUUUGUGGUUCAAGAACUAGUUUUCCGAAACAGCUCCCUUUGUUUUCUUACACCGUUUAACUUCCCUCCCUGGUAUCAAGUGUUUUCUUUUAUCCCUGGUAUCAAGUGUUUUCUUUUAUGGGUCACUUUCAAUUGAUUGCCAUUCUUUAGUAUAUCUUUGAGAGAUUUGUUUUUCUGGAUUGUCGUAAUUAUUGUUUAUGGAAAACUGUGUUUGGUUGUUGGCAGCUUCUAUGAACAAGGGGAGGUCUGCACGUGGGAUUUCAGAAACAGCUGAGAAAUUGGGCAAUUUGUCUGUUAGUGGUAGAAGACAAUCAAUGGGGCAAACCCGUCCUCCACCAAUGAAAGCUGGAGUGAAUUGGAUUUCUGAAUCUGGAAACUUCAUCCUUGGGUCCGCCCAGCAGCAGAUUCAGGCUGGAAGAACUUUCACCAGAAAAGUUGCCGGAUGAGUAAAUGUGGAAGACCCUAAUGUGCAUGCUCAAUGUUGUUUGUGUGAAUGUCCUAAACUAUAAUUAUGUGUGUUUUACAAUAUUUUAUGGCUUUGGCCAACCCUAAACUACAAAACUAGUUUGUAUUGCCUGUGCCUGUGUUGUGACUUGUUGGCAAUCGUCUCGUACAUGUGGGACAUGCAGAGCUAAGCUCAUACUUUAAACUAUAAAAUCAAAGUUUUAUAUAAAUAAAGUUUGGCAUACACCUCUGACAUGCUACAACACGUCUU